Molecule: transfer RNA, 74 nt
Filed under: Sutterella sp.
Lineage: Bacteria; Pseudomonadati; Pseudomonadota; Betaproteobacteria; Burkholderiales; Sutterellaceae
Description: tRNA-Cys
Rfam family: tRNA
About the family: Transfer RNA (tRNA) molecules are approximately 80 nucleotides in length. Their secondary structure includes four short double-helical elements and three loops (D, anti-codon, and T loops). Further hydrogen bonds mediate the characteristic L-shaped molecular structure. tRNAs have two regions of fundamental functional importance: the anti-codon, which is responsible for specific mRNA codon recognition, and the 3' end, to which the tRNAs corresponding amino acid is attached (by aminoacyl-tRNA synthetases). tRNAs cope with the degeneracy of the genetic code in two manners: having more than one tRNA (with a specific anti-codon) for a particular amino acid; and 'wobble' base-pairing, i.e. permitting non-standard base-pairing at the 3rd anti-codon position.
Source: RNAcentral
GGCGCGAUAGCAAAGUGGCUAUGCAACGGAUUGCAAAUCCGUCUACAGCGGUUCGAUUCCGCUUCGCGCCUCCA